Molecule: ribosomal RNA, 465 nt
Filed under: Vreelandella stevensii
Lineage: Bacteria; Pseudomonadati; Pseudomonadota; Gammaproteobacteria; Oceanospirillales; Halomonadaceae
Description: partial 16S ribosomal RNA
Rfam family: Bacterial small subunit ribosomal RNA
Source: RNAcentral
CCUACGGGUGGCAGCAGUGGGGAAUAUUGGACAAUGGGCGAAAGCCUGAUCCAGCCAUGCCGCGUGUGUGAAGAAGGCCUUCGGGUUGUAAAGCACUUUCAGUGGGGAAGAAAGCCUUGGGGCUAAUACCCUCGAGGAAGGACAUCACCCACAGAAGAAGCACCGGCUAACUCCGUGCCAGCAGCCGCGGUAAUACGGAGGGUGCGAGCGUUAAUCGGAAUUACUGGGCGUAAAGCGCGCGUAGGCGGUCUGAUAAGCCGGUUGUGAAAGCCCCGGGCUCAACCUGGGAACGGCAUCCGGAACUGUCAGGCUAGAGUGAAGGAGAGGAAGGUAGAAUUCCCGGUGUAGCGGUGAAAUGCGUAGAGAUCGGGAGGAAUACCAGUGGCGAAGGCGGCCUUCUGGACUGACACUGACGCUGAGGUGCGAAAGCGUGGGUAGCAAACAGGAUUAGAUACCCUGGUAGUC